Molecule: ribosomal RNA, 468 nt
Filed under: uncultured bacterium
Lineage: Bacteria
Description: partial 16S ribosomal RNA
Rfam family: Bacterial small subunit ribosomal RNA
Source: RNAcentral
GACGAACGCUGGCGGCGUGCUUAACAUAUGCAAGUCGAACGGAAAGGCCCUGCUUUUGUGGGGUGCUCGAGUGGCGAACGGGUGAGUAACACGUGAGUAACCUGCCCUUGACUUUGGGAUAACUUCAGGAAACUGGGGCUAAUACCGGAUAGGAGCUCCUGCUGCAUGGUGGGGGUUGGAAAGUUUCGGCGGUUGGGGAUGGACUCGCGGCUUAUCAGCUUGUUGGUGGGGUAGUGGCUUACCAAGGCUUUGACGGGUAGCCGGCCUGAGAGGGUGACCGGCCACAUUGGGACUGAGAUACGGCCCAGACUCCUACGGGAGGCAGCAGUGGGGAAUAUUGCACAAUGGGCGGAAGCCUGAUGCAGCAACGCCGCGUGCGGGAUGACGGCCUUCGGGUUGUAAACCGCUUUCGCCUGUGACGAAGCGUGAGUGACGGUAAUGGGUAAAGAAGCACCGGCUAACUACGUG